AAACCUGUAAACAGCAUCCUUCCAUGGCCUCUGCAUUAGCUCCUGCCUCCAGGUUCCUGUACUGUUUGAGUUCCUGUUCUCACUUCUUCCAAUGAGGGACUACAAUAUAUGUCCCUCCAUUCUCAACGUGGCUCCAACCACACUCAUCUCCCAGUAGAGAAGUUUCUAAUAACCUUCAAAAUGCUGAUUGACCCUCCAUUCCCAUGAGGCUCAAAUGGCACAAAACAGCAGGAAGGUAGACUUUCAAACAACUCUCCACAAGGUCACAACAGCCUCUCAAUGAAGACAGAAAAUCGUGGCACGUUGGUCUUGAACAGUGGUGACUGUUUUCAUUAACACAGAAAGCAAUGUUAUGAAAGGAAAAUGUGGACAACCCUUGUUCCUUUCAAUUAUAUAAGAUGCUAUACUUCUUAACAAGUUUGCAUGGCAUGAAGACUUCCAUUCGUUUCAUUGUGGACUUGGAGAAGGAAAGAUUAGAAGAGCCAGAAGAUUAGAGAGUUUUGCUGUGAGGUCGUGUCUCCUAGGAAUGUCAGAAGAUAUAACCGUGAAGUCUCACCAACAUGUCUGUCUAAACAUGGCUUGAACAAGUAUGAUACCAAUAGACUGAAAGAGAAAAGCUCAGGGCCUCAACCCUAGAUAGAGAACUAUAGGCAGCUAAGGACUACAGAGAGCAGGAGACAUAGUCUUACCCAGCGAAGAGCACACCAACUGGGCAUCCAACACCAAACGGUCAGCCCUGAAAACACACACACAAGUAACAUUUUACAGACCGAGUAGUUUUAUUGAUGUAUUUACAAACACACACACAUGUAACAACAAUUAGAGAAAAAUAGGCCAUGAGCUUGAAAGACAGCAAGGUGGGGAUACAUGGGAAGGUUCGGAGGGAAAAGCAGGAAGGAGCAAAUGAGGUAAUCAUAUCAUAAUCUCAAAAGAUAUUUGAAACACUUUUAAAAUUUUAAUAUAAAAUUAAAGUAUUACAAGAAAUAUGAAGACCACAUAAAUUUGAUGUGGCAGACAAUAAUUUGAUUCACAGUAUAAGUAAUCUAUUUAUGAAAAAUGGCCAUAUUUCCCAAUGCAAACAUAAACCUAGGGAGUGGCAUUGUUUUAUGUUUUAUCAGAUCACAUGAACAUCAGGAUUAAUAGAAAACAUCUGGGGGUCUUUUGUUCGAUACAGCAGACAUCUGUAGUGAUAUCAUAGACCAUGCAGUUGGGAAGUGAUGUACACUCAUGAUGGGAUAGAAGUGGGCGGGGGAAGGCAAAUUUAUCUUAGAUGAUGAACACAGUUUGAACUAUCCAAGUCUCCAGAGCAUGUAGAGACUGAAUCUCACUAUGAGAACUACUGAUGUAAGGCUAUGAAA
Long non-coding RNA from Mesocricetus auratus (golden hamster), 1358 nucleotides. RefSeq lists it as uncharacterized. Lineage: Eukaryota; Metazoa; Chordata; Mammalia; Rodentia; Cricetidae. The record is from RefSeq and is a predicted model, not a curated record. The transcript is spliced from 4 exons.